This 173-nucleotide non-coding RNA is filed under the name Eubacteriales bacterium. RNAcentral describes it as "6S RNA". It matches the Rfam family "6S / SsrS RNA". From Rfam's summary of the family: E. coli 6S RNA was the first non coding RNA to be sequenced, but its function was unknown until recently. It consists of 184 nucleotides that fold into an extended hairpin structure with a large single-stranded internal bulge. Lineage: Bacteria; Bacillati; Bacillota; Clostridia; Eubacteriales. The record is from RNAcentral.
GUGUGCCUGAAAUGUCUGUCUUGCUUCGUUUUUGAACCUUCAAAUCAUAAUCGGGAGCCUGAGUUGACGGAAUACGAUCAAGUCUCCCUGAGAGAAAGGUCUAAGACCGGCGCAGGGCACCCACCUAGCAAGUUGCUAGGUAUCAAAAAGAAGCGGGGCAUUUUAGGCAUCUU